UACGAAGGGGGCUAGCGUUGCUCGGAAUGACUGGGCGUAAAGGGCGCGUAGGCGGCUUACAUAGUUAGGAGUGAAAUUCCUGGGCUCAACCUGGGGACUGCGUCUAAUACAUGUAGGCUUGAGUGUGAAAGAGGGUCGUGGAAUUUCCAGUGUAGAGGUGAAAUUCGUAGAUAUUGGAAAGAACACCGGUGGCGAAGGCGGCGACCUGGUUCAUUACUGACGCUGAGGCGCGAAAGCGUGGGGAGCGAGCGGG
This 253-nucleotide ribosomal RNA is filed under the name uncultured bacterium. Its description in RNAcentral is "partial 16S ribosomal RNA". It matches the Rfam family "Bacterial small subunit ribosomal RNA", at positions 524 to 776 of the family's 1533-position model. The record is from RNAcentral.